RNAcentral lists this long non-coding RNA (328 nucleotides) under Gallus gallus (chicken). Lineage: Eukaryota; Metazoa; Chordata; Aves; Galliformes; Phasianidae. The record is from RNAcentral.
UUAAUAUGGAAUGCUCUGAGCAAUACUGGCACGCACGCUGGCAUCGGCAGCCACAGCACGAAGGGCUCGGCAGGGAAGGCCGCUCCUCCUCUUCCUCUAUGCCGCCAGCUCCACCGCCCCCUCCUCCUCGCUGUCCGCCCGGUUGGCACGGAUCUCCACCAGGGUCCGAGCGAAACGCGUCCAUUCGUCGUUGUGCGGGACCGCCAGCUCUCCAACAUCAUAGAUCCAUAUGCGGCCUUCUGAAUCACCAACUGCUACCUCCUUCCCAGCCUGGGCCCAGCGGACACGGUUGAGGGCAGAAGCUCCUUCUAUUGUCACGCUGGCUGUG